AAAAGAAGAAAAAAAAAAAGAAAAAAGGAAAAGAAUGAAAAAUGAAAAUGACAUGACCAGAGGUAUGUAGCAUGUUAGUCCCUAUCUGAGCUAUUUUCUCCACUUUUGGGAGCUUUAGGCAGUCUCUAAUGAGAGAGAGUUUUAUAGA
This 148-nucleotide non-coding RNA is filed under the name Heterosigma akashiwo. Lineage: Eukaryota; Raphidophyceae; Chattonellales; Chattonellaceae. The record is from RNAcentral.